AUGUACGAGUGAUCCAAAAUACCGUAGUUCAACUUCAAGACAAUUGACCCAAAAGCAAACCGAGUGGAGCUGGCCAUUUCAACAGUGGGUGCCAAAGCAACCCAGGUUUGUUUACGAAAGAACGGACCUGCCGGGCCUAUGUCAGGCCCAUUGUCGUUUCGACCUUGGGACGGGUCCACGCUUCUAAACCAAAUGCACUCUCAAUAAUUAAACUUACAAACUUGAAUCGAUCUAUCUAACACGAGUUCAAUGAUGUAAUGCAAUAUGGCAACAUAAGCAGUUAACUAAAGUCAUGCUUAUUUCGUCAUUUGAAUUUCAAUUUCGUGACCCAAUUGUUUUGCUUACUUGCCUCCUGAUAAUUUUCAGAUAAUGCUAAGGUAAAAAAAAACACAAACAAUGAUUUAUUAGCACCUAACACUAAUUUUUCGAUUCCCUUUUAUUUGUUAUUACAAGAAGAACACAUCAAUACUAUUUGAUUCCUGCUUGAAUACUUUUGAACAAAUUGAGAAAACUUAGGAAUUGACCAAUUAACUGGAAUCUAUUCCAUUAUUUCAGUAUAGAACUGUAAUCAACCUAAACAAACUCAUAUGACUCUUUAAGUAUGCAAACGAUCACUUAAGAGGUCAAAUGAACAGAUUCACGCUUAACAAUUCCUCAAUUCCACACAGUCCAUCACAAGUUAACAAUUCAGUUGAUUUAAUACAAAUAAACUACAUAAUGAACUCGUCCAAAUGAAAUUCUAAAGUAAACUAUAAUGGAAAUGACUAAAAAAAAAUAACAGCUUCAAUGAAGAUCAAACAACAGCCGGAUUUUCAUUUCAUGGAAGAAUUACACCAAAUCAGUUCCGAAUGUGUUACCUGGAAGCAGAAAUUCAACAACAAGAAGAAGAGAUCAGCAACAAAACGAGCAGCAAUCAUAUAAUAGCCCAGAGAUAUUUUUGAUAAUACAGGAAGAGUUCAGGGGAACAAAUAGAAUCGAGAUAUCAAAUCAGCAACACUUGAAUGCACCCAAUUGAAUCCAAAAUUGAACCCAGGACUUUCAGAAGGCCAGUCACACAACCAGAAUGGUUAAACAGUACCAAACAAGCUCGAGAUUGAACCACAGACCUCAGAAACUUUCCAGCAACCCAAAACUUCACAAAAAAAAUAGUUUAAGCAGAUCAAAUUCACGUGAAGUCGAACCAGCGACAAUAUGAAGUUUCCACAAACAAGUACUGAACUAGGAAAAUGAUAAUUACUAAUUGAAAGCUGAAAUUAACCUAAAGUAUCUAAUGGAAAGUAUAUUUUUGGUUUUUUGAAGAGUUAUUGUUGUUUUUUGGUUUUUCUGAAAAUCACUACUGUUUUUGUUUUUGAUUUUUAAAGAUUUUGGAGUUUUGAUCUCAAGUUUCAGUUCUGAAACUUGCAGAAAAGGGGAGGGGCUUUUGUGAGACUCCAAAACUUGUAUUCUAAGGCACUAAUGAUGCCUUUUUAUAGGCCUAAGGGAGGGCAGCCCUCAAUUUUCAGUUUUCCUUUUAGUCCCUCCUAAUUUUCAGUUUAGUCCCUCUAUUCUUGACUUUCUAAACAAGUAAAUACAUCUAACUUGCUGAAAUCUACACUUGCACCCUAUUCUAGAAGUCUCUAAGAUGCUCUUUUAGCAAGGCAAUUUCUACACUACUCUUUCCUUGUUUUAGAAUUACUAUUAUUAAAAAAACUACCCUUUUCUAUCCCCAAAAUGCCCUUGGGUUCUAUUCUUAAUUACCUAGCCUACAGACCCCUUUCACCCCAGUUACAAUCUACCUAAAGUUAAUUAACCAAUGAAUUUUUCAACUAUAUCCAAACCACCUAUCUUAAGCCUACACCAAUUAAGACUAAAACUGGAUGAACUAUUAAUACUAAUUGAAAUCAGUUCCAAAAAACUUCCAAAUUCAACUUUAAUAAACAUACCAAAAAUCAGUUUGAUUAUACCAACGACCAGAUGUCAAUUAAGCAUUCUAAAUCAAAACAAAAGAAAAAUUGAAAUUAACCUAAACCUAUAGCUAACAAUUAACAGACAGAAUUGUAUCGACCCAAACUAAUAGAUUAAGAUGAUUCUAAAACUAGGCUAUGAUUAACUAACAAAUCGAGACAUGAUUUAAAUAUGAAAUUAACACUAUGCAGGGCUUAUUGAAUAAAUGAAUCGAAAGCGAUAUUAAAAUCAGAAUUAACCAUGAACAACCAUACAGAAAUCGCCUCAUUGAACGGAGAAGAAGGAGAAGAAAGCAAUGAACUAUUCUACAAUAAUUAAUUCAGAAUACUAAAGAAAACUUACUGAAUGAAGCACUCGACCAAGAAAAAUCCCUUAAAACAGGUUCAUCCUCUAAGAACCCUAGACCCGCAACUCAAGUCCGUCUGCUUGGAUUUGAGUGAUUCUGAGCGUGAAAUAGCAAUGAGGAAGGAAGACGGUCGCCUGGUAUGAUUUUGGAUUCAUUUGGGCCAACUCGCGACUUGACCGGAAAAUCUUUGAUGGCAAAUUCGACGAGAUUGGUUGUGAUUCGAAGGACUUCGAGCAUGGGGAUGGAAAGAGGGGAAAGAGAUGAUUAUGUGGUGAAAAUUUUGGGGUGUUUGGAGCUUCACUGCCGGUGGCGUUGGGCGGAACCGGCGAUGGAGAUUGAGAGGGUGCAAGGAUGUACGAGGAAGAGAGAUGUUUGUCUCUAAUGUUUGACUAUAUUUCAGACACUUAAAUGUUAG
This 2705-nucleotide long non-coding RNA is filed under the name Nicotiana benthamiana. Its description in RNAcentral is "long non-coding RNA (NBEN_LNC033232)". The record is from RNAcentral. Lineage: Eukaryota; Viridiplantae; Streptophyta; Magnoliopsida; Solanales; Solanaceae.